CCUACGGGAGGCAGCAGUGAGGAAUAUUGGUCAAUGGGCGCGAGCCUGAACCAGCCAAGUCGCGUGAGGGAGGACGGCCCUACGGGUUGUAAACCUCUUUUGCCGGGGAGCAACGGGCGUCACGUGUGGCGCCACUGAGAGUCCCCGGAGAAAAAGCAUCGCCUAACCCCGUGCCAGCAGCCGCGGUAAUACGGGGGAUGCGAGCGUUAUCCGGAUUUAUUGGGUUUAAGGGGUGCGUGGGCGGAGCGUUAAGUCAGUGGUAAAAUUGAGGGGCUCAACCCCUUCCCGCCAUUGAAACUGGCGCUCUUGAGUGGAAGAGAAGUAUGCGGAAUGCGUGGUGUAGCGGUGAAAUGCAUAGAUAUCACGCAGAACCCCGAUUGCGAAGGCAGCAUGCCGGCUUCCGACUGACGCUGAAGCACGAAAGCGUGGGGAUCGAACAGGAUUAGAUACCCGGGUAGUC
This 460-nucleotide ribosomal RNA is filed under the name uncultured bacterium. RNAcentral's name for it is "partial 16S ribosomal RNA". It matches the Rfam family "Bacterial small subunit ribosomal RNA", at positions 338 to 795 of the family's 1533-position model. The record is from RNAcentral.